GGGGAUUUAGCUCAGUGGUAGAGCACUUGUCUAGCAAAAGCAAGGCCCUGGGUUCGGUCCCCAGCUCCA
This is a non-coding RNA of Rattus norvegicus (Norway rat), 69 nucleotides long. The record is from Rfam. Lineage: Eukaryota; Metazoa; Chordata; Mammalia; Rodentia; Muridae.